Molecule: ribosomal RNA, 603 nt
Filed under: uncultured fungus
Lineage: Eukaryota; Fungi
Description: eukaryotic LSU rRNA
Rfam family: Eukaryotic large subunit ribosomal RNA
Source: RNAcentral
ACCCGCUGAACUUAAGCAUAUCAAUAAGCGGAGGAAAAGAAACCAACAGGGAUUGCCCUAGUAACGGCGAGUGAAGCGGCAACAGCUCAAAUUUGAAAUCUGGCGUCUUUGGCGUCCGAGUUGUAAUUUGCAGAGGGCGCUUUGGCAUUGGCAGCGGUCCAAGUUCCUUGGAACAGGACGUCACAGAGGGUGAGAAUCCCGUACGUGGUCGCUAGCCUUUACCGUGUAAAGCCCCUUCGACGAGUCGAGUUGUUUGGGAAUGCAGCUCUAAAUGGGAGGUAAAUUUCUUCUAAAGCUAAAUACUGGCCAGAGACCGAUAGCGCACAAGUAGAGUGAUCGAAAGAUGAAAAGCACUUUGGAAAGAGAGUUAAAAAGCACGUGAAAUUGUUGAAAGGGAAGCGCUUGCAGCCAGACUUGCCUGUAGUUGCUCAUCCGGGUCUCUACCCGGUGCACUCUUCUAUAGGCAGGCCAGCAUCAGUUUGGGCGGUUGGAUAAAGGUCUCUGUCAUGUACCUCUCUUCGGGGAGAACUUAUAGGGGAGACGACAUGCAACCAGCCUGGACUGAGGUCCGCGCAUCUGCUAGGAUGCUGGCGUAAUGGCUGU